RNAcentral lists this ribosomal RNA (218 nucleotides) under Campeiostachys nutans. Its description in RNAcentral is "Elymus nutans partial small subunit ribosomal RNA". The stretch from base 47 to 218 matches the Rfam family "Eukaryotic small subunit ribosomal RNA", at positions 692 to 864 of the family's 1831-position model. Lineage: Eukaryota; Viridiplantae; Streptophyta; Magnoliopsida; Poales; Poaceae. The record is from RNAcentral.
GAAUCUGUCGGUUGGUCGGGCUUCACUGUCCGCACUGGCCUGGUGGAUUCCUACCUUCUGAAUAACCAGCAUGCUAUUAAGUUAGUGCGUUGGGGAAGCAGAACUAUUACCUUGAAAAAAUUAGAGUGCUUAAAGCAGGCUUGUGCUUGAAUAGAUUAGCAUGGAAUAAUAAAAUAGGACGGCAUGGUUCUAUUUUGUUGGUUUCUAGGAUUGACGUA